Molecule: ribosomal RNA, 695 nt
Filed under: uncultured bacterium
Lineage: Bacteria
Description: bacterial SSU rRNA
Rfam family: Bacterial small subunit ribosomal RNA
Source: RNAcentral
AACGCUAGCUACAGGCUUAACACAUGCAAGUCGAGGGGCAGCAUUUCAGUUUGCUUGCAAACUGGAGAUGGCGACCGGCGCACGGGUGAGUAACACGUAUCCAACCUGCCGAUAACUCGGGGAUAGCCUUUCGAAAGAAAGAUUAAUACCCGAUGGUAUAAUCAGACCGCAUGGUCUUGUUAUUAAAGAAUUUCGGUUAUCGAUGGGGAUGCGUUCCAUUAGGCAGUUGGUGAGGUAACGGCUCACCAAACCUUCGAUGGAUAGGGGUUCUGAGAGGAAGGUCCCCCACAUUGGAACUGAGACACGGUCCAAACUCCUACGGGAGGCAGCAGUGAGGAAUAUUGGUCAAUGGGCGCAGGCCUGAACCAGCCAAGUAGCGUGAAGGAUGACUGCCCUAUGGGUUGUAAACUUCUUUUAUAUGGGAAUAAAGUUUUCCACGUGUGGAAUUUUGUAUGUACCAUAUGAAUAAGGAUCGGCUAACUCCGUGCCAGCAGCCGCGGUAAUACGGAGGAUCCGAGCGUUAUCCGGAUUUAUUGGGUUUAAAGGGAGCGUAGGUGGACAGUUAAGUCAGUUGUGAAAGUUUGCGGCUCAACCGUAAAAUUGCAGUUGAUACUGGCUGUCUUGAGUACAGUAGAGGUGGGCGGAAUUCGUGGUGUAGCGGUGAAAUGCUUAGAUAUCACGAAGAACUCCGAUUG